CAGUCGCCACGGGAAUACGAGGAGGGCAAGCGUUGUUCGGAAUUAUUGGGCGUAAAGGGUGCGUAGGCGGCCCCGCAAGUCUCAUGUGAAAUCUUCAGGCUCAACUUGAAGUCUGCAUGGGAAACUGCGGGGCUGGAGUAUGGGAGAGGUGAGUGGAAUUCCUGGUGUAGCGGUGAAAUGCGUAGAUAUCAGGAGGAACACCUGUGGCGAAAGCGGCUCACUGGACCAUAACUGACGCUGAGGCACGAAAGCUAGGGGAGCAAACAGGAUUAGAUACCCCCGUAGUCCCUGUCUCUUAUAC
Molecule: ribosomal RNA, 301 nt
Filed under: uncultured bacterium
Lineage: Bacteria
Description: partial 16S ribosomal RNA
Rfam family: Bacterial small subunit ribosomal RNA
Source: RNAcentral